AAAAUAAAAAAUAAAUUAAAAAAAGACCAUACUUACAAAGAGAAAACAAGCACCAAUCAUUGCUGCUUUGACUGUCACAUCUAGAUCUGCGGGAACAUGAAUUCCGAAGUUGUCAGCAUUGGUAAAGACAUCAUUUACAAAUCCUGACCAGUACUUUGAAAUCUUCCCAAUUGUAAGUUUUUCAUUAAUGGUCUUCACCUUUGAAAAGAAAAUAAGAGAUGUUAAACCUGAAGGUGAAAUGGAUGGCUUUACAUAUCUUAGUAUGUUUGCUUCGAGAGAGAUGCGAAUUAUUUUAUUAGUCAUCUGUAAAUGACAGUUCCAUGUCAUUCAUUCUGUUAUAUAAGCAUAAGUUUGGAGAUUUAACUUUCCAGUUUACUCUUCAGGAAUUUUGCCUUUUUGACAGUUUUUUGAUUCAUCAUAAUUCCUUUAUUUUUUCUUGCUUUUCGUAUGCAGAUUGAGAAAAUAAUAGCAAUAAAUAAUUAAGGCCAGGCUACCACAAGAUGGCAGCAGGUACAUAGUCUCAAUUACAUGGUCUAACCUUGAAGGUAAUUCCAUUACCUGAAGUCUAGAUUUUAAACCUGAAUUCUUCAAUAACAACAACAACAACAACAACAACAAAAGGAAGAAAAAGAAAAAGAAAAUAUUUUUGAGAAAUAUUGGAGAAACAAUUUUUAGAAGAAAUUCAUUUCUAAGUACACAUUGUAAACUUUAAAUUUUUAUUGUUAAGAAUAUAGAAUUACUAACAUAUUUAAACAU
This 756-nucleotide long non-coding RNA is filed under the name Lynx pardinus (Iberian lynx). Lineage: Eukaryota; Metazoa; Chordata; Mammalia; Carnivora; Felidae. The record is from RNAcentral.